CUUCCGCCUUCCCCGCACAGGAAGGCGGACCGAGGAACCGGUGCUCUCUGCCCUGACUGCCCCGGCUCCUCAUCCUUCGGCCGAUCGGGACCGCACACCCCGCGGCCGUUGUUGCUCCGGGCUGCGGUGCCGAGAGGGUUGAGGGUCCCUCUCAGGCGC
Molecule: small RNA, 159 nt
Organism: Streptomyces sp. WM6386
Lineage: Bacteria; Bacillati; Actinomycetota; Actinomycetes; Kitasatosporales; Streptomycetaceae
Rfam family: Streptomyces sRNA scr5239
About the family: It inhibits agarase DagA expression by direct base pairing to the dagA coding region, and it represses translation of methionine synthase metE (SCO0985) at the 5' end of its open reading frame.
Source: Rfam